This 654-nucleotide ribosomal RNA is filed under the name uncultured bacterium. RNAcentral describes it as "SSU rRNA". It matches the Rfam family "Bacterial small subunit ribosomal RNA", at positions 245 to 915 of the family's 1533-position model. The record is from RNAcentral.
CUAGCUGGUGGGGUAAGAGCUCACCAGGGCGACGAUCGGUAGCUGGUCUGAGAGGACGAUCAGCCACACUGGGAUUGAGAACGGCCCAGACUCCUACGGGGGGCAGCAGUGAGGAAUUUUCGUCAAUGGGGGCAACCCUGAACGAGCAACGCCGCGUGCAGGAAGAAGGUUUUCGGAUCGUAAACUGCUUUUCUCGGGGACGAGUACGGACGGUACCCGAGGAAUCAGCCCCGGCUAACUACGUGCCAGCAGCCGCGGUAAUACGUAGGGGGCGAGCGUUGUCCGGAGUUACUGGGCGUAAAGCGCACGCAGGCGGUUCUUUCAGUUCAACGUGACAGUCGUCGGCUCAACUGACGAAGGACGAGGAAGACGGGAGAACUUGAGGGCUUCAGAGGGACACGGAAUUCCGGGUGGAGUGGUGAAAUGCGUAGAUAUCCGGAGGAACACCAACAGCGAAGGCAGUGUCCUGGGAAGUCGCUGACGCUCAGGUGCGAAAGCCAGGGGAGCGAACGGGAUUAGAUACCCCGGUAGUCCUGGCCGUAAACGAUGACCACCAGGCGUGGGGGGUAUCGACCCCCUCCGUGCCGGAGCUAACGCGGUAAGUGGUCCGCCUGGGGAGUACGGUCGCAAGAUUAAAACUCAAAGGAAUUGACG